Molecule: ribosomal RNA, 492 nt
Filed under: uncultured bacterium
Lineage: Bacteria
Description: partial 16S ribosomal RNA
Rfam family: Bacterial small subunit ribosomal RNA
Source: RNAcentral
AGUGAACGCUGGCGGUAGGCCUAACACAUGCAAGUCGAACGGCAGCACAGUAAGAGCUUGCUCUUACGGGUGGCGAGUGGCGGACGAGUGAGGAAUACAUCGGAAUCUACUUUUUCGUGGGGGAUAACGUAGGGAAACUUACGCUAAUACCGCAUACGACCUACGGGUGAAAGCAGGGGAUCUUCGGACCUUGCGCGAUUGAAUGAGCCGAUGUCGGAUUAGCUAGUUGGCGGGGUAAAGGCCCACCAAGGCGACGAUCCGUAGCUGGUCUGAGAGGAUGAUCAGCCACACUAGAACUGAGACACGGUCCAGACUCCUACGGGAGGCAGCAGUGGGGAAUAUUGGACAAUGGGCGCAAGCCUGAUCCAGCCAUACCGCGUGGGUGAAGAAGGCCUUCGGGUUGUAAAGCCCUUUUGUUGGGAAAGAAAAGCAGCAGGUUAAUACCCCGCUGUUCUGACGGUACCCAAAGAAUAAGCACCGGCUAACUUCGUG